RNAcentral lists this ribosomal RNA (253 nucleotides) under uncultured bacterium. Its description in RNAcentral is "partial 16S ribosomal RNA". It matches the Rfam family "Bacterial small subunit ribosomal RNA", at positions 524 to 776 of the family's 1533-position model. The record is from RNAcentral.
UACGAAGGGGGCUAGCGUUGCUCGGAAUUACUGGGCGUAAAGCGCGUGUAGGCGGCUCUUCAAGUCAGGCGUGAAAGCCCCGGGCUCAACUCGGGAACUGCGCUUGAUACUGUCGAGCUAGAGUGUGGAAGGGGCGAUUGGAAUUCCGUGUGUAGCGGUGAAAUGCGUAGAUAUACGGAGGAACACCAGAGGCGAAGGCGGAUCGCUGGGCCAACACUGACGCUGAGACGCGAAAGCUAGGGUAGCAAACGGG